Molecule: ribosomal RNA, 253 nt
Filed under: uncultured prokaryote
Description: partial 16S ribosomal RNA
Rfam family: Bacterial small subunit ribosomal RNA
Source: RNAcentral
ACGUAGGGUGCAAGCGUUAAUCGGAAUUACUGGGCGUAAAGCGUGCGCAGGCGGUGAUGUAAGACAGGUGUGAAAUCCCCGGGCUUAACCUGGGAACUGCAUUCGAUACUGCCUUGCUAGAGUACUGGAGAGGAGACUGGAAUUUACGGUGUAGCAGUGAAAUGCGUAGAUAUCGUAAGGAAGACCAGUGGCGAAGGCGAGUCUCUGGACAGUUACUGACGCUGAGGCACGAAGGCCAGGGGAGCAAACGGGA